GAUAAACGCUGGCGGCGUGCCUUAUGCAUGCAAGUCGAACGGUUUUGGUCUUCGGACCAAGAUAGUGGCAAACGGGUGAGUAACACGUAAGUAACCUGCCCCUAAGUAGAGGAUAGCUCUAAGAAAUUAGAAUUAAUACUUUAUAUGGUGAUGUUGGUAAAGCAACAUUACUAAAGUCGUAAGACGCUUGGGGAGGGGCUUGUGUCCGAUUAGCUAGUUGGUAGGGUAAGGGCUUACCAAGGCGAUGAUCGGUAGCUGGUCUGAGAGGACGAUCAGCCACACUGGGACUGAGAUACGGCCCAGACUCCUACGGGAGGCAGCAGCAAGGAAUUUUGUGCAAUGGGCGAAAGCCUGACACAGCAACGCCGCGUGGGGGAAGAAGGCCUUCGGGUUGUAAACCCCUUUUCUCAGGGAAGAAUAAUGACGGUACCUGAGGAAUAAGUCUCGGCUAACUACGUGCCAGCAGCCGCGGUAAUACGUAGGAGGCGAGCGUUAUCCGGAUUUACUGGGCGUAAAGAGGGCGCGGGCGGCUUUUCAAGUCGGUUGUAAAAUCUCCCCGCUUAACGGGGAGGGAUCAUCCGAUACUGUUGAGCUAGAGGGCAGCAGAGGGAGGCGGAAUUCCCGGUGGAGUGGUGAUAUGCGUAGAUAUCGGGAAGAACACCAGUGGCGAAGGCGGCCUCCUAGGCUGUUUCUGACGCUGAGGCCCGAAAGCGUGGGGAGCGAACAGGAUUAGAUACCCUGGUAGUCCACGCCGUAAACGAUGGACACUAGGUAUAGGGAGUAUCGACCCUCUCUGUGCCGUAGCUAACGCGUUAAGUGUCCCGCCUGGGGACUACGGCCGCAAGGCUA
Molecule: ribosomal RNA, 849 nt
Filed under: uncultured Chloroflexota bacterium
Lineage: Bacteria; Bacillati; Chloroflexota
Description: bacterial SSU rRNA
Rfam family: Bacterial small subunit ribosomal RNA
Source: RNAcentral